UAAUUAUUUAUAUUAGGUCUAGCCUGCUCAAUGAUUUUAAUAAUUUAAAUAGCCGCAGUAUAUUGACUGUGCGAAGGUAGCAUAAUCAAUUGUCUUUUAAUUGAGGGCUUGUAUGAAUGGUUUGAUGAGAAAAUGACUUUCUUUAUACUAAUAUUUAAAAUUUAAUUUUUUAGUUAAAAAGCUAAAAUAUUUAAAUGGGACGAGAAGACCCUAUAGAAUUUUAUUUUUAUUUUUAAAGUAUAAGUUUUUGGAGAGGUAAUAUCUUAUUAUUUAAAAUAAAUAUUUUGUUGGGGUGACCUUGAGACUUAUUUAACUCUUAAAUUAUAUAAUUUUAUUAAUGUGUAUAUAUAUAUGAUCCUAUUUUAUGGAUAUUUAGAUUAAAUUACCUUAGGGAUAACAGCGUAAUUUUUUUGGAGAGUUCUUAUUGAUGAAAAAGUUUGCGACCUCGAUGUUGGAUUAAAAUUAGAUUUUAGUGCAGAAGCUAAAAUUCUAGGUCUGUUCGACCUUUAAAUUUUUACAUGAU
Molecule: ribosomal RNA, 523 nt
Filed under: Priassus exemptus
Lineage: Eukaryota; Metazoa; Arthropoda; Insecta; Hemiptera; Pentatomidae
Description: partial large subunit ribosomal RNA
Rfam family: Bacterial large subunit ribosomal RNA (bases 393-523)
Source: RNAcentral